UUUAGUCAGGCAACGAGCGAGACCCACGCCCACAGUUGCCAGCGUACUCUCCGGAGUGACGGGUACACUGUGGGGACCGCCGCUGCUAAAGCGGAGGAAGGAAUGGGCAACGGUAGGUCAGUAUGCCCCGAAUAUCCCGGGCUACACGCGAGCUACAAUGGUUGGUACAAUGGGUAUCUACCCCGAAAGGGGAUGGAAAUCUCCUAAAGCCAAUCUUAGUCCGGAUUGAGGGCUGCAACUCGCCCUCAUGAAGCUGGAAUCCGUAGUAAUCGCGUUUCAACAGAACGCGGUGAAUACGUCCCUGCUCCUUGCACA
Molecule: ribosomal RNA, 315 nt
Filed under: uncultured euryarchaeote
Lineage: Archaea; Methanobacteriati; Methanobacteriota
Description: bacterial SSU rRNA
Rfam family: Archaeal small subunit ribosomal RNA
Source: RNAcentral